CCCCUCCCCUCCCCAGCUUCUUCCCCCCUAUUUUCCCCUCCCUCUCCCUCCACCUCCCCUCUCUGUUCGCUCCUCUCUUCUCUCCAUUCCACUCCUUCCCCGGCUUUUGUUUUUAGUGUUGAAAAGCGUAGUCUUCUUCCCAAACUCUCUAUCUCUUCUCCCUCCUUCUUUCCUUUGAGGGGUGGCUCUGACCUUUCUUUUCACCUCCAGCCCCACAGGACACACAAGUGGUGAGAAGAAAGGCCGUGGCUCCGCGGCCAGGACAAGGGCUACCUGCAGCCUCGCCCUUUGAAGUAGACAUUCUUCUCAUCUCUGUUUUACAAAGGAAGAAACGGAGACACAGAGACAUUAAGCAACUUGCCCAAGGCCACACAGCCAGUUCCCCUCUACCCCAUUCCAUUGAUCGAUCACGUCUCCUUAGUUUCCUUUUGGCUAUGACAGUUUCUCAGACUUUCCUGUUUUUGAUGACUUUGGCCUGCAGCUUUUUUAUACCCUCUGACCCUGCUCACUGCGGUCCAGAAUGCACUGCUCCAUCUACUACAGAUCACUGCUGGGUCCACCCACCCUUUUGACUUGGAGUGGAAAAGAAACCAUCACCAAGUCAACGGCUGUAUACCAUGGACCUCAGACUGUGCUAAUCUGCUGUAACAGAGACACCACAACUGGCAGCGCAGCUGCAAUUAGAGCAUGAAGAGGGGAAGUGAGGCAGAAGACGAGACCAGAAGUGCAGAUUGGUGCCAGAUUGCAAAGGGCCCUGAAGGGCUCACAAUGGGAUUGGACCAUGGCCUGAAUACGUGAGGAGUCCCCACAGGUUGUAGUAUGUUCCAUCCACUCACUCCUUUAAAACAGAAAACUGCAAGCUUCCGAAUGAACUGUCUCACUAGCUGGAGUCCGUGCUCCGUGCCGUGACGGGCUGCCCUGUUCCCGCCUUCAGGAUGGAAACGCUCAUCCUCCUGGCUAUUAAAAUGUCACAGCUGUGUCCCAGCCACCCUUAAACUUCCCUUAUUUCCGGACUAGAACGUGCUCUUCCAACCUUCCACUCCUCUGCCUUUGCUGUCCUUUCUCUGGGCUAUCUCCUCCACUUCCCAUGUCUGGAGAAAUUCUAUUCAUUCUGCAAGACUUCCUGGGAUGUUUCCUCUCCCUCGUGAUAGGAUUAACCGCUUCCUUCUGUUUCCAGAGCAUUUUGUUCACAAUGUGAGCUUAGGACUUGAACAGAUUCUGUAUGUCACGUUGUGGCUGUCAGUGUCCUUGGCUCCCCUAUGAACUGUGUACUCUGCACAUCAGUCUGGGCCAUGUGUCCUUUAUCUUCAUGUCACCAGAGGUUUCCAUACAGCCUGACACGUAAGGAAUGUUAGUGAAUUAAAUUUGUUAUUCAGUUGAAUCAGAUUCUGGUGUUAAGAAAGGAAAAUAAACUCCAGGCUGAGAUGCACACAUUUUUUCUUUCAUAAAACAUGCAUUUGUUGUCACAAAACAGUGGGCUCAAAGAGGACUUUUUGUGCUAAUCGUUUAUCAUUCUGAAUUUGUAAAGUAAAACUGUCAAAAACCUAAGUCCUUUCUUUUUCUUUCCAUCUGAAUUGGAACUAUUUAACCAGAAAUGCACGUGACUCUAAUACCUUCACAAACUGUUUAAUUGUGUGUGUGUUGAGAUGUGAGCUUAUGUUUAGAAACUCC
Molecule: long non-coding RNA, 1671 nt
Organism: Equus caballus (horse)
Lineage: Eukaryota; Metazoa; Chordata; Mammalia; Perissodactyla; Equidae
Source: Ensembl